Pelobates cultripes (western spadefoot toad) is the source of this 359-nucleotide non-coding RNA. Lineage: Eukaryota; Metazoa; Chordata; Amphibia; Anura; Pelobatidae. The record is from the annotation of a GenBank genome assembly.
UUUGACUGGGGAAUAAGUUUCCCUGGUGGUCCAGUGGUUGAACUUGGAGACCGUGCGCGGUGUGGAACGUAUCAGAGCAUUGUCGUGGAUGCUCUGAUUCAUUAGCUGAAGGUCCCCUUUCAUAACUUUGGGCUGGCCAAAGAUCUCCCUAUCCGCCACAGAGCACUCUCUCUUGGCCUGCGCUCUGGCAGCGCUGGCUCUGCAGGGGCCGAUCAGAGAGAUUAUUUUACUGGAUUUUUGGCUAAGCAAGCAAAGAUGCAUUUUGCUCCAUUCCUCAAAAAAUACAUCUUCCCCGUGUGUCCCUUAAACCACCUCAAGAAUUUCUUACCCCCUUUUGUGUUUAUUCUCUUUUGAAAGAC